RNAcentral lists this ribosomal RNA (251 nucleotides) under uncultured bacterium. Its description in RNAcentral is "partial 16S ribosomal RNA". It matches the Rfam family "Bacterial small subunit ribosomal RNA", at positions 103 to 354 of the family's 1533-position model. The record is from RNAcentral.
CGGGUGAGUAACGCGUGGGUAACCUGCCUCAUACAGGGGGAUAACAGUUAGAAAUGACUGCUAAUACCGCAUAAGCGCACAGAAUCGCAUGAUUCGGUGUGAAAAACUCCGGUGGUAUGAGAUGGACCCGCGUCUGAUUAGCUAGUUGGUGGGGUAAAGGCCUACCAAGGCGACGAUCAGUAGCCGACCUGAGAGGGUGAUCGGCCACAUUGGGACUGAGACACGGCCCAAACUCCUACGGGAGGCAGCAG